This is an RNA transcript of Zea mays, 1907 nucleotides long. RefSeq lists it as uncharacterized. The record is from RefSeq and is marked validated. Lineage: Eukaryota; Viridiplantae; Streptophyta; Magnoliopsida; Poales; Poaceae. The transcript has 3 exons.
UCAAGUGUGACGCGGAACCGAAACCCGAUACAUCCAGGCGUACAGCCCUCCGCCUCGUGAAGGCAAAGCACGCGCAAAGCCACCACAGCGUCUUCAUCUUCGUCUCCAGUCCAAGCAAGCGAAGAGCACCCCUCGAGAUCUCUCCCUCCCCGCGCCGCCAUGGACGCAGUUGACUCGGUAGUCGACCCGCUCCGGGAGUUCGCCAAGGACAGCAUCCGCCUCGUCAAGCGCUGCCACAAGCCGGACCGCAAGGAGUUCACCAAGGUCGCCGCGCGGACUGCGAUCGGCUUCGUCGUCAUGGGAUUCGUCGGCUUCUUUGUCAAGCUCAUCUUCAUCCCUAUCAACAACAUCAUCGUCGGCUCCGGCUGAUCCGUAAACCUCAGGUAUACUUUCCAAUCACGUUAUACCCCUGCUCUGGCUUCCACUGGAUGUGUGUAAUUCGGUAGAUCUCUUGUAUCGAGCCACAUGCUUAGGACAAUUCGUUACUGUUACAUCUUUUUGUGUAAAUUGUUCUGCCGAGUUUGGUUUGUGUGGUAAUUUAGAUUUGGUGAUUGGAGAUUCGCUGAAUGAGAAUUCAGCAUAGGUGUUUAUCUGCUGUCUUUAAUGGUAUACUGACUAUUAGUAGUGCUUGUGAGAUCCAAUAUCCUCUAGGAUUCUCAUACUACUAUAAUGGAUGAUCAGAUUUUUUUUAUUUGUUCUAGACUCUAGUAGCUUGGUUUGGAAGCCAAUUAUCUGUUUUUACGGGGUAUUCCCUUGAAACUGUGGCAUUAAUGAAUUCAUGCAUCUAUAUGGAGACAAUUGCAUAUUUAGGACUCUAAACAAUGCGCUUCACAAUAAUGCCAUCCGAAAGAUUUAAUUCGUAAAAAAGGUACUACAAACCUUCUCUAAUUGAUUAUACUACCAUUCAACGUAUAUUCUUCCUUUUUAUAAUCUGAUCUCAUGUAUUUUCUCUGCAACAAGACAGUUUUACCCCUUAUAAAUCUCUCCUCUGGCCAACGUCCCAGCAACGAGUGAGCAUCCACCCGACUUAGAUUAGCAGAUUCGUUUCCUCUGGUUCCUUCAUGAACUCAUGCUGAAAUGGAUUGCUAAUUAAUGCUAUUGUGGGUUGUUCAUUACUGAUUGAUGAGUACUAUACAUUACCUGACAUGCCGUCACGACACAAAUUUCCUUGCUUUACUCAAUUACUCAGUGUACAAUUGGUGCAUCAAAAUUCAAAAUGGACUUGCUGCUGUGAUUUAUUCAUGCUUGGAUCGAUUCAGGUGGCAUAAGUACUAACUUUUUUAGCAGUUCAAUGGGCACAUCCAUUCCAUGCAACUGGCAACCCUUUUUAUUUUCCUUCGUCAUCAUGUGCUAAUCCAUAAGAAAGCAUUGCAGAUCAUGCUUUAUUUCUCUGGAGUAAUUAGCUUUUUUUAGGAAUGGUAAUUAACCGUUUUAAAGAGAAAUACUUCUUUGUUUAUACCCUGCCCACUGCCCGUCGCGGCGCGGUGGCGUCCCCGCCCCCUGCCCGGCGCGGUGCGGUGGCGGCUCUACCCGGUGUGGCGCGGUGGCCGUCGCGUGAACAGCCGUGGAGGAGAGAGGCGUGGUGGCGGCCCUGUCCGGCUCGGCGAGAGAACGCGAAAUCUCAGAGGAAGAUAGAUCUCGAGGAAGAUAGAGACAACCGAGGGAGAGGCUAGUGGCUGCAGGAGUGGACAAUGGCGUCACUACCUUGGAGGCAGCACCGUUUUCAGCUCUGAUUUCCGCAAAGCAAUUCCUUUAGGACUUGUGUUGUUAAAGGGCAACUCCCUUAUCUUUUCCUCUCUUGAGGUCGUGUGGUAGAUCUGGAACUCUUUUGUACCUGGUGUCGAAUAGUCUUUUGUGGAUCAGCGGGUGACAAAAUUAAAUGGUUACCGUUGUCUUGGGGAUUGCUU